RNAcentral lists this ribosomal RNA (467 nucleotides) under uncultured bacterium. RNAcentral's name for it is "partial 16S ribosomal RNA". It matches the Rfam family "Bacterial small subunit ribosomal RNA", at positions 28 to 507 of the family's 1533-position model. The record is from RNAcentral.
GACGAACGCUGGCGGCGUGCUUAACACAUGCAAGUCGAACGGAAAGGCCCUGCUUUUGUGGGGUGCUCGAGUGGCGAACGGGUGAGUAACACGUGAGUAACCUGCCCUUGACCUUGGGAUAACUUCAGGAAACUGGGGCUAUACCGGAUAGGAGCUCCUGCUGCAUGGUGGGGGUUGGAAAGUUUCGGCGGUUGGGGAUGGACUCGCGGCUUAUCAGCUUGUUGGUGGGGUAGUGGCUUACCAAGGCUUUGACGGGUAGCCGGCCUGAGAGGGUGACCGGCCACAUUGGGACUGAGAUACGGCCCAGACCCCUACGGGAGGCAGCAGUGGGGAAUAUUGCACAAUGGGCGGAAGCCUGAUGCAGCAACGCCGCGUGCGGGAUGACGGCCUUCGGGUUGUAAACCGCUUUCGCCUGUGACGAAGCGUGAGUGACGGUAAUGGGUAAAGAAGCACCGGCUAACUACGUG